UGGGGAAUAUUGCACAAUGGGCGCAAGCCUGAUGCAGCCAUGCCGCGUGAGUGAAGAAGGCCUUAGGGUUGUAAAACUCUUUCACCGGUGAAGAUAAUGACGGUACCCGGAGAAGAAGCGCCGGCUAACUCCGUGCCAGCAGCCGCGGUAAGACGGAGGGCGCUAGCGUUGUUCGGAAUCACUGGGCGUAAAGGGCGCGUAGGCGGCUGUUUAAGUCGAGGGUGAAAGCCCGGGGCUCAACCCCGGAACGGCCUUCGAGACUGGGCAGCUCGAGACCGGAAGAGGAGGGUGGAAUACCCAGUGUAGAGGUGAAAUUCGUAGAUAUUGGGUGGAACACCAGUGGCGAAAGCGGCUCUCUGGUCCGGAUCUGACGCUGAGGCGCGAAAGCGUGGGGAGCAAACAGGAUUAGAUACCCGUGUAGUCC
RNAcentral lists this ribosomal RNA (424 nucleotides) under uncultured prokaryote. Its description in RNAcentral is "bacterial SSU rRNA". It matches the Rfam family "Bacterial small subunit ribosomal RNA", at positions 355 to 796 of the family's 1533-position model. The record is from RNAcentral.